This 253-nucleotide ribosomal RNA is filed under the name uncultured bacterium. Its description in RNAcentral is "partial 16S ribosomal RNA". It matches the Rfam family "Bacterial small subunit ribosomal RNA", at positions 524 to 776 of the family's 1533-position model. The record is from RNAcentral.
UACGUAGGGGGCAAGCGUUAUCCGGAUUUACUGGGUGUAAAGGGAGCGUAGACGGCGAUGCAAGCCAGAUGUGAAAGCCCGGGGCUCAACCCCGGGACUGCGUUUGGAACUGUGUGGCUGGAGUGUCGGAGAGGCAAGUGGAAUUCCUAGUGUAGCGGUGAAAUGCGUAGAUAUUAGGAGGAACACCAGUGGCGAAGGCGGCUUGCUGGACGAUGACUGACGUUGAGGCUCGAAAGCGUGGGGAGCAAACAGG